This is a non-coding RNA of Camellia sinensis, 741 nucleotides long. NCBI's taxonomy places the organism in Eukaryota, Viridiplantae, Streptophyta, Magnoliopsida, Ericales, Theaceae. The record is from RefSeq and is a predicted model, not a curated record.
AAUGGAUGGCCCUCCCAUCUAAAGCCCUUGUUCUUUUCAAUAAUAUCUGUUUUGUUCCAAGUCACGUAUGGUCUGCCAACAAAAAAAGAAGUCUCAUCUCACAUAGAACAUGUACAUAUGGUAACACAAGAAGCCUUGAUGAAUUUUGAACCACUUGCCAAUAAAGAUAAAACCAAAAUGCAUAGAAACAAAAAUGUGAGGCCACACCUUGGAUCAACCAAAGGCCAGUUAUACACCUUCUAACACUUAAGACUAAAAAACAUGCCACAACAUGCUUCUACUUUGUUUACUCAACAUCAAACCCUUUCUCUUGCAGCUCCGAAAGGAUUUCAUUUCUCAUCCUAAUCCACAGCUUCAGAGCUUCUUGCUCGAACUUCUUGUCCUGCAACUCCUUCUGAUAAUUGUACGAGUCUUUAUCCGAUUCAAUGACACCUUUUGGACCUAUUGUCGUGCCGAUCAUGCCACCCUUGGCAACAAACUCCUUCAUCGCCUCCUCGUCGCCAGGUUUGCGAACCAUUGGGCUUAGGUGAGAUAACUGGUGAUGAUAUAUAUGUUCGAAGAAGGAAGGGGUAAAUUGGGUAUAUGCCCAACCAGUUAAUAAAGGAAUUAUUGGGUGUUUCAGGAAUUUUCUAGGUUGUGUAUUUAUAAGAUAAAAGUGAUUGCUUGUUGUAGUUAGGUUGUGGAUGGAUCUAUGUGAUAAUUUUUUUUUUAAAUGACAUAUAUAGAUAAUUAAGCGAUAAA